UACCGGCAGCUCAAGUGGUAGCUGUUUUUAUUGGGCCUAAAGCGUUCGUAGCCGGUUUAAUAAGUCUUUGGUGAAAGCUUGUAGCUUAACUAUAAGAAUUGCUGGAGAUACUAUUAGACUUGAAGUCGGGAGAGGUUAGAGGUACUACCGGGGUAGGGGUGAAAUCCUAUAAUCCUGGGAGGACCACCUGUGGCGAAGGCGUCUAACUAGAACGAUCUUGACGGUGAGUAACGAAAGCCAGGGGCGCGAACCGG
This 254-nucleotide ribosomal RNA is filed under the name uncultured bacterium. RNAcentral's name for it is "partial 16S ribosomal RNA". It matches the Rfam family "Archaeal small subunit ribosomal RNA", at positions 474 to 727 of the family's 1478-position model. The record is from RNAcentral.